Molecule: long non-coding RNA, 323 nt
Filed under: Salvia miltiorrhiza (redroot sage)
Lineage: Eukaryota; Viridiplantae; Streptophyta; Magnoliopsida; Lamiales; Lamiaceae
Description: long non-coding RNA (SMIL_LNC003912)
Source: RNAcentral
GCCGCUGUUGUCGGCGGAAUUUCUGGGGGAGUCUUCUUGUUGUGAGGGAUUGGACGGAGGGGCGACGGUGUUCGGCGAUGGCCUUGGCUCGCCGGCGGCGACUUCACCGAGAAGGGGAAGGAGAUGGGCGGCGGAUUUGGGUGUGUUCCAGAAAUGGGGCGGUGGGUUUGGGAGAUAAUGGGUUAGAUAGUUUAGGGUUUCAAGUUUUAUAGUGUAAUUAGGGUAGGAUUAAUUAAAUGUAAUAAUACCUUAAUUUUUUCCAAAAAUAGAAUGUGUCUUUAUUAUUGGGACAACCCAAUAAGGAAAGUGUGUCUUCAAUAAUG